RNAcentral lists this ribosomal RNA (468 nucleotides) under uncultured bacterium. RNAcentral describes it as "partial 16S ribosomal RNA". The stretch from base 20 to 332 matches the Rfam family "Bacterial small subunit ribosomal RNA", at positions 47 to 358 of the family's 1533-position model. The record is from RNAcentral.
GACGAACGCUGGCGGCGUGCUUAACACAUGCAAGUCGAACGGAAAGGCCCUGCUUUUGUGGGGUGCUCGAGUGGCGAACGGGUGAGUAACACGUGAGUAACCUGCCCUUGACUUUGGGAUAACUUCAGGAAACUGGGGCUAAUACCGGAUAGGAGCUCCUGCUGCAUGGUGGGGGUUGGAAAGUUUCGGCGGUUGGGGAUGGACUCGCGGCUUAUCAGCUUGUUGGUGGGGUAGUGGCUUACCAAGGCUUUGACGGGUAGCCGGCCUGAGAGGGUGACCGGCAAAAGGGGGAAGGAGGUAGGGGCAAGAGGAGGAGGGGAGGGAGCAGGGGGGAAGAGGGCAGAAGGGGAGGAAGCGUGAGGAAGAAAAGGAGGGGGCGGGAGGAAGGCAGUCGGGUGGGAAAAAGGAGGCGAAUGUGAAGAAGGGGGAGUGACGGUAAUGGGUAAAGAAGCAACGGCUAACUAAGUG